This 363-nucleotide ribosomal RNA is filed under the name Metamycoplasma salivarium. Its description in RNAcentral is "bacterial LSU rRNA". It matches the Rfam family "Bacterial large subunit ribosomal RNA", at positions 178 to 535 of the family's 2925-position model. Lineage: Bacteria; Bacillati; Mycoplasmatota; Mycoplasmoidales; Metamycoplasmataceae. The record is from RNAcentral.
GAGACACGCUGUGAAUUGAAACAUCUCAGUAGCAGCAGGAAGAGAAAAUAAAGAAUGAUUCCCUUAGUAGUGGCGAGCGAACGGGGAAAAGCCCAAACCAACAUUCGUUGUUGGGGUUGUAGGACUACUAAUUAAGAAGUUAGACAAAUAUUUACAUAUAGCAGAAUGAGUUGGAAUGCUCAAACAUAGAGGGUGAAAUUCCCGUAAGUGAAAUGUGUAAAUCUUCUAGUGGUAUCCUGAGUAGGGCGGGGCACGUGAAACCCUGUCUGAAUCUGCCGGGACCACCCGGUAAGGCUAAAUACUAAUCAGACACCGAUAGUGAACUAGUACCGUGAGGGAAAGGUGAAAAGAACCCAGAGAUGG